AUACAAUGGCAUGCUUCCUUCUGC
RNAcentral lists this non-coding RNA (24 nucleotides) under Arabidopsis thaliana (thale cress). Lineage: Eukaryota; Viridiplantae; Streptophyta; Magnoliopsida; Brassicales; Brassicaceae. The record is from RNAcentral.